This 440-nucleotide long non-coding RNA is filed under the name Salmo trutta (river trout). Its description in RNAcentral is "lncRNA (ENSSTUG00000004643.1)". Lineage: Eukaryota; Metazoa; Chordata; Actinopteri; Salmoniformes; Salmonidae. The record is from RNAcentral.
GUUAGCCAGCAUGAAUGAAUAGACAGCCUUUUUACAACAUGGCCAAUUUUGCGGCUGUGGUAACUAGUGGAAAUCAUGAAUUGUCGUGGACUAUAUGCACAACUAAAGGACAUUGUUCCAAUCACAGGUCUAUGUCCCCAUGCGGGACCUUAUGGUGUCCAGGACACGCUCCGAAGCAGGUGAGUGUCAGCCACAACACAUAUUCAGGGACACCUUUUUACUGAUGCCAAUUUAAAAAGUAUCGGCCAAAGCCCAUUUACUGACACCCAGUGAUAAGCACGAUAUGUCUUGUGUUGCUGUACCCACAGGUUUUCCAGCGUGAGGAAUGAGCAGCUCCCCAGAAAAACAUGAGACUUGCUGGUUUAAAGUGGGCUGGUGCCCUACCCACACUGGCCCUACCUGCUCACAAACACACACAGUGCCUUCAGAAAGUAUUCACA